GGGUGUGAUCAUACUAGUGUUAAUGCAUCAAAUCCCAUCAGAACUCCGUAGUUAAGUGCACUUUGGUUGGAGUUGUACCGAGAUGGGUGACCUCUGGCGAAGUCCCAGUAUUGCACCACG
RNAcentral lists this ribosomal RNA (120 nucleotides) under Cycas micholitzii. Lineage: Eukaryota; Viridiplantae; Streptophyta; Cycadopsida; Cycadales; Cycadaceae. The record is from RNAcentral.